CCUUAGAGUUUGAUCCUGGCUCAGGAUGAACGCUAGCGAUAGGCUUAACACAUGCAAGUCGAGGGGCAGCACGGAAUAGCAAUAUUUUGGUGGCGACCGGCGCACGGGUGAGUAACACGUAUGCAACCUACCCAUGACAGUGGAAUAACCCGUCGAAAGGCGGACUAAUACCGCAUAAUAAAGGGAACCUGCAUGGGUUCUUUUUCAAAGAUUUAUCGGUCAUGGAUGGGCAUGCGUUCCAUUAGGUAGUUGGCGGGGCAACGGCCCACCAAGCCUGCGAUGGAUAGGGGUUCUGAGAGGAAGGUCCCCCACACUGGUACUGAGACACGGACCAGACUCCUACGGGAGGCAGCAGUGAGGAAUAUUGGUCAAUGGGCGAGAGCCUGAACCAGCCAAAUCGCGUGAAGGAUGAAGGUAUUAUGUAUUGUAAACUUCUUUUACAGGGGAAUAAAGUGCGGGACGUGUCCCGUUUUGUAUGUACCCUGAGAAUAAGGAUCGGCUAACUCCGUGCCAGCAGCCGCGGUAAUACGGAGGAUCCAAGCGUUAUCCGGAUUUAUUGGGUUUAAAGGGUGCGUAGGCGGGGAACCAAGUCAGCGGUGAAAGUUUGCGGCUCAACCGUAAAAUUGCCGUUGAAACUGGUUCUCUUGAGUGUAGAUGAGGUGGGUGGAAUUCGUGGUGUAGCGGUGAAAUGCUUAGAUAUCACGAAGAACUCCAAUUGCGUAGGCAGCUCACUGGGCUACAACUGACGCUGAGGCACGAAGGUGCGGGGAUCAAACAGGAUUAGAUACCCUGGUAGUCCGCACAGUAAACGAUGAAUACUACCUGUUGGCGAAACAC
Molecule: ribosomal RNA, 837 nt
Filed under: uncultured bacterium
Lineage: Bacteria
Description: bacterial SSU rRNA
Rfam family: Bacterial small subunit ribosomal RNA
Source: RNAcentral